GGUUUGUUAGCUCAGAUGGAUAGAGCAAUCCCCUGUCACGGGAUAGGUCACGGGUUCGAGUCCCGUACAAACCGCCA
Molecule: transfer RNA, 77 nt
Filed under: Pseudomonas putida
Lineage: Bacteria; Pseudomonadati; Pseudomonadota; Gammaproteobacteria; Pseudomonadales; Pseudomonadaceae
Description: tRNA-Asp
Rfam family: tRNA
About the family: Transfer RNA (tRNA) molecules are approximately 80 nucleotides in length.
Source: RNAcentral